RNAcentral lists this transfer RNA (74 nucleotides) under Sulfuriroseicoccus oceanibius. RNAcentral's name for it is "Verrucomicrobiales bacterium T37 tRNA-Gln". It matches the Rfam family "tRNA". From Rfam's summary of the family: Transfer RNA (tRNA) molecules are approximately 80 nucleotides in length. Their secondary structure includes four short double-helical elements and three loops (D, anti-codon, and T loops). The record is from RNAcentral. Lineage: Bacteria; Pseudomonadati; Verrucomicrobiota; Verrucomicrobiia; Verrucomicrobiales; Verrucomicrobiaceae.
UGCCCCGUAGUGUAAUGGUAGCACAUCUGAUUUUGGUUCAGCUAGUUAAGGUUCGAAUCCUUGCGGGGUAGCCA